CCUACGGGAGGCAGCAGUGGGGAAUAUUGCACAAUGGGGGAAACCCUGAUGCAGCGACGCCGCGUGAGUGAAGAAGUAUUUCGGUACGUAAAGCUCUAUCAGCAGGGAAGAAAAUGACGGUACCUGACUAAGAAGCCCCGGCUAACUACGUGCCAGCAGCCGCGGUAAUACGUAGGGGGCAAGCGUUAUCCGGAUUUACUGGGUGUAAAGGGAGCGUAGACGGCAGCGCAAGUCUGGAGUGAAAUCCCAUGGCUUAACCAUGGAACUGCUUUGGAAACUGUGCAGUUAGAGUGCAGGAGAGGUAAGCGGAAUUCCUAGUGUAGCGGUGAAAUGCGUAGAUAUUAGGAGGAACACCAGUGGCGAAGGCGGCUUACUGGACUGUAACUGACGUUGAGGCUCGAAAGCGCGGGGAGCAAACAGGAUUAGAUACCCUAGUAGUC
Molecule: ribosomal RNA, 440 nt
Filed under: uncultured bacterium
Lineage: Bacteria
Description: partial 16S ribosomal RNA
Rfam family: Bacterial small subunit ribosomal RNA
Source: RNAcentral